This 597-nucleotide ribosomal RNA is filed under the name Schizosaccharomyces pombe (fission yeast). Its description in RNAcentral is "partial 26S ribosomal RNA". It matches the Rfam family "Eukaryotic large subunit ribosomal RNA", at positions 62 to 648 of the family's 3401-position model. The record is from RNAcentral. Lineage: Eukaryota; Fungi; Ascomycota; Schizosaccharomycetes; Schizosaccharomycetales; Schizosaccharomycetaceae.
AAAAUAACCAUGAUUCCCUCAGUAACGGCGAGUGAAGCGGGAAAAGCUCAAAUUUGAAAUCUGUCAACAUUUCUUUUGUUGUCCGAGUUGUAAUUUCAAGAAGCUGCUUUGAGUGUAGACGAUCGGUCUAAGUUCCUUGGAACAGGACGUCAGAGAGGGUGAGAACCCCGUCUUUGGUCGAUUGGAUAUGCCAUAUAAAGCGCUUUCGAAGAGUCGAGUUGUUUGGGAAUGCAGCUCUAAAUGGGUGGUAAAUUUCAUCUAAAGCUAAAUAUUGGCGAGAGACCGAUAGCGAACAAGUAGAGUGAUCGAAAGAUGAAAAGAACUUUGAAAAGAGAGUUAAAUAGUACGUGAAAUUGCUGAAAGGGAAGCAUUGGAAAUCAGUCUUACCUGGGUGAGAUCAGUAGUCUCUUCGCGAGACUAUGCACUCUGAACCUGUGGUAGGUCAGCAUCAGUUUUCGGGGGCGGAAAAAGAAUAAGGGAAGGUGGCUUUCCGGGUUCUGCCUGGGGAGUGUUUAUAGCCCUUGUUGUAAUACGUCCACUGGGGACUGAGGACUGCGGCUUCGUGCCAAGGAUGCUGACAUAAUGGUUUUCAAUGGC